AAACACCGUAGUUUUGCACCGUUUAUGUCUAACCUUUAUUUAUCCGUCUUAUUUAAAAGAUUUCUAUGAUUAGUAUCUUUUUAUUUAGAUGAUAAAACAUGAAUAAUGCUUUAUGUGUGACUUUUUUUUUAAAAAAAAUUAAAUAAGGCUGACGGUGAAUAUUGGACACGGAAAUCCAUAACUGCACUUAAA
Molecule: microRNA precursor, 192 nt
Filed under: Oryza sativa Indica Group (long-grained rice)
Lineage: Eukaryota; Viridiplantae; Streptophyta; Magnoliopsida; Poales; Poaceae
Description: MIR812 microRNA precursor family
Rfam family: MIR812 microRNA precursor family
Source: Rfam by way of RNAcentral